Molecule: ribosomal RNA, 496 nt
Filed under: uncultured bacterium
Lineage: Bacteria
Description: partial 16S ribosomal RNA
Rfam family: Bacterial small subunit ribosomal RNA
Source: RNAcentral
GAUGAACGCUGGCGGCGUGCCUAAUACAUGCAAGUCGAGCGAACAGAUAAGGAGCUUGCUCCUUUGACGUUAGCGGCGGACGGGUGAGUAACACGUGGAUAACCUACCUAUAAGACUGGGAUAACUUCGGGAAACCGGAGCUAAUACCGGAUAACAUAUUGAACCGCAUGGUUCAAUAGUGAAAGGCGGCUUUGCUGUCACUUAUAGAUGGAUCCGCGCCGUAUUAGCUGGUUGGUAAGGUAACGGCUUACCAAGGCAACGAUACGUAGCCGACCUGAGAGGGUGAUCGGCCACACUGGAACUGAGACACGGUCCAGACUCCUACGGGAGGCAGCAGUAGGGAAUCUUCCGCAAUGGGCGAAAGCCUGACGGAGCAACGCCGCGUGAGUGAUGAAGGUCUUCGGAUCGUAAAACUCUGUUAUCAGGGAAGAACAAAUGUGUAAGUAACUGUGCACAUCUGGACGGUACCUGAUCAGAAAGCCACGGCUAACUACGU